This 877-nucleotide ribosomal RNA is filed under the name uncultured Methanosarcinales archaeon. RNAcentral describes it as "bacterial SSU rRNA". It matches the Rfam family "Archaeal small subunit ribosomal RNA", at positions 21 to 903 of the family's 1478-position model. Lineage: Archaea; Methanobacteriati; Methanobacteriota; Methanomicrobia; Methanosarcinales. The record is from RNAcentral.
AGGUUACUGCUAUCGAGGUUCGACUAAGCCAUGCGAGUCGAAUGCCGCAAGGCAUGGCGCACUGCUCAGUAACACGUGGACAACCUACCCUGAGGACGGGUAUAAACCCGGGAAACUGGGUAUAAUCCCCGAUAGUCCUCGGCUGCUGGAAUGCACCGAGGACGAAAGCUCCGGCGCCUUAGGAUGGGUCUGCGGCCUAUCAGGUAGUAGUGGGUGUAACGUACCUACUAGCCUACGACGGGUACGGGUUGUGAGAGCAAGAGCCCGGAGAUGGAUUCUGAGACACGAAUCCAGGCCCUACGGGGUGCAGCAGGCGCGAAAACUUUACAAUGCUGGCAACAGCGAUAAGGGGACCUCGAGUGCCAGGUUACAAAUCUGGCUGUCGUGAUGCCUAAAAAGCAUUACAUAGCAAGGGCCGGGCAAGACCGGUGCCAGCCGCCGCGGUAACACCGGCGGCUCGAGUGGUAACCGUUAUUAUUGGGUCUAAAGGGUCUGUAGCCGGCCGGAUAAGUCUCUUGGGAAAUCCAGCAGCCUAACUGUUGGGCUUUCAGGAGAUACUAUUCGGCUCGAGGCCGGGAGAGGUGAGAGGUACUUCAGGGGUAGGGGUGAAAUCUUGUAAUCCUUGAAGGACCACCAGUGGCGAAGGCGUCUCACCAGAACGGACCUGACGGCAAGGGACGAAAGCUAGGGGCACGAACCGGAUUAGAUACCCGGGUAGUCCUAGCCGUAAACGAUACUCGCUAGGUGUCGGCCACGGUGCGACCGUUGUCGGUGCCGUAGGGAAGCCGUGAAGCGAGCCACCUGGGAAGUACGGCCGCAAGGCUGAAACUUAAAGGAAUUGGCGGGGGAGCACCACAACGGGUGGAGCUUGCGGUUU